Molecule: ribosomal RNA, 194 nt
Filed under: uncultured Pseudomonas sp.
Lineage: Bacteria; Pseudomonadati; Pseudomonadota; Gammaproteobacteria; Pseudomonadales; Pseudomonadaceae
Description: partial 16S ribosomal RNA
Rfam family: Bacterial small subunit ribosomal RNA
Source: RNAcentral
UCCUACGGGAGGCAGCAGUGGGGAAUAUUGGACAAUGGGCGAAAGCCUGAUCCAGCCAUGCCGCGUGUGUGAAGAAGGUCUUCGGAUUGUAAAGCACUUUAAGUUGGGAGGAAGGGCAGUUACCUAAUACGUGAUUGUUUUGACGUUACCGACAGAAUAAGCACCGGCUAACUCUGUGCCAGCAGCCGCGGUAA